AUGGCAAUGCCAAUCGUGAGCGCCGCGGCGGGGGUGAUGAACCCCCUCAUCAGCAAGCUCACCAUGCUGAUGGGAGAUGAGUACAAGAAGCUCAAAGGAGUGAGGAAGGAGGUGGCUUUUCUCAGGGACGAGCUCAGUGCCAUGAAUGCUGCCCUUGAGAAGCUGGAGUUCGUGGAAAAGCUCGAGCCAGAUACCAAGAACUGGAGGGACCAUGUCAGGGAGAUGGCCUACGACAUGGAGAACUGCAUCGAUGACUUCAUGCAGAAUAUUGGAGGUGCCGACGCCAGCGCCAGCUUCAUGAAGAGGACUGCUCGGCGCCUGAAGACAUUGCGUGCGCGUCACCGGAUUGCUGGCCAGAUCCAGGAGCUCAAGGCUCUUGCAGUAGAGGCAAAGGAACGGCAAAUAAGGUACAAGAUUGAUGGUUGUAAUACUAGUUGUGGCACUGUGGAUAUUGAUCCUCGGAUUUCAGCGAUCUACAAAGACGCUGCUGGACUUGUGGGUACUGAUGGCCCAAAGAAGGAGGUUGUCAGUUUGUUGGUAGACACCGACAACAAGCUCAAGGUGGUGUCCAUCGUGGGAUUUGGGGGACUGGGUAAAACUACACUUGCUAAUCAGGUAUAUGACGAUCUUAAAGAGCAGUUUGACUGUAAGGCAUUUAUUCCUGUCUCUCAAAAACCAGACAUGACUCGGCUUCUCAAUAGCCUAAGAUUAAAUCUUGGGAUAAAUGAGUCCUCUGGUAUUUGUGAGGUGCAAGACAUCAUCCGUCAACUUAGAGAACACCUUGCAAACAAGAGGUAUUUUGUUAUUGUCGAUGACUUGUGGGAUCAAGGAGCAUGGGAGAUUAUAAGAUGUGCCUUUCCAGAAAAUGGUAAUGGGAGUAGAGUAAUAGUAACCACACGAGUGGAAGCCGUUGCAAUCUCAGCAUGUUCUUGUCACUGUAAGCACAUUUACAGAAUGAAGCCCCUCAGCACUGAAGAUUCCAGAAGCUUAUUCAUGAAGAGAGUAUUUGGGUCUGAAAACAUGUGCCCGUCUAAUUAUGAAAAAGUUUCAACUGAAAUUCUGAAGAAGUGUGGCGGAUUACCACUUGCAAUUAUUACUAUAGCUAGCCUAUUGGCUUGUCGCCGAGAAAGAUCAAGGAAUGACUGGGAGAACAUACGGAAUUCUCUAGGUGCCCAGUUUGCUACAAACCCCACACUGAAAGAUAUGAGGAGUAUAUUAAACCUCAGCUAUAUGAAUCUUCCUCUUCAUCUCCGCACUUGUUUUCUUUACAUUGGUAUGUAUCCAGAAGACUAUGAGAUAAGGAGGGAUGAUCUAGUUCGAAAAUGGAUAGCCGAAGGCUUUAUCAGUAAUUUGCAUGGACCAAAUUUGGAGGAUGUUGGGAUAAGUUAUUUCAAUGAGCUAGUCAAUAGAAGCUUGAUUCAGCGUGUAAUGACCUACAAGGGAGUUUACUGCAAAGUACAUGAUAUGAUGCUAGAUUUGAUCCUAAGCAAGUGUGCAGAAGACAAUUUUAAUAGUGUGGCAUAUACUUCCGAAGACAUGACAAGACUCUGUAACUGCACGUACAAGAUUCGUCGGCUGUCCCUCAUCUCAAGUGUUGAUAGAAGAAAAAGGGAAACAGUAUCAUGGACAGUUUCAGGUAGCAUAUCGCAAGUUCGGUCAUUUGUGUGGUUCGGAGAUUGCAAGUUCAUACCUCGUCUUUCUCAGUUAAAGUAUAUCCGUGUGUUAUGCUUUGAACAAGAUUUAUAUGCGGAUUCAGAUCCCAAUUCAUGUCUCGACCUCACUGCUGUCAGCCAAUUGUUUCAUCUGAGGUAUUUGAGGGUUUCAGAGUAUGUGUAUGCAGAGCUUCCUGCUGAAAUUAAGGGGCUUGUGCAUUUGGAUACGUUGGAUGUCACGAAUGGAAGCAUCCCGUCAGACAUGGUGCACUUGCCCCGCUUGUCCUAUCUCAUAAUGAGUCGUUUUGACGGGCUACCUGAAAGGAUCGGGCUUAUGGAAUCUCUCCGCACACUAGAUGGUUUCGAACUGGUGGACAGCUCGCUGGAGGCUAUUAAGGGCCUCGGCAAGCUGACUAAUCUGAGAAACCUGACCCUUGUUAUGGGUGCAGAGUGCAGCACUUGCAAUCUGGAGAAGGCGAAGUGUGAUGCUUUGGCCUCUUCUAUUUGUAAGCUACGCAACCUCAAAUAUCUCGGGAUCACAGGCAUGAUUGAUGAUAAUUAUGACGUUCUAGGCUCAAUUUCAGAUCCUCCUGCCCUUAUCGAGGAAAUGUGCGUUGACAUGUGGGCGUUCUUGAGAGUUCCUAAAUGGAUCGGUGAUCUCCAUUGCCUGCAUACCCUGCAAUUACGUGUCAGGGAGAUGAAAAAUGAUGGGAUAACUAUUCUUGGAGAACUGCCAUCCCUCGUCGACCUCAGCCUUUCCUUUGAUAAAUGCUUUAAAGAAGAGGCUGUAAUCUUCGGCAAGGGCUUAUUCCAAGUUCUCGAGCGUCUUGGCUUCUACUCUAGGGAAGGUAUUACAACACAUGUGGGUUUCGAGGCAGGAGCUGUGCCCAAGCUACGAAAGCUCGAUCUGAAAGUCGACUGGCCACAGUGGGGCGGAGCUACACCAGUCGGCAUGGAGCACCUCUUGGAGCUCCAGCAAAUACGUUUAAUUGUAUCCCGCAUCAAGAAGGAAUCUUUUGAACAAGUGAAGCUCGUAGUCCAGUCUGCAUUUGGUAACGCCCUGCAACUGCUGCCAAGGCGUCCUUCGUUGGAUAUUGAAUGUUACUCCUGGUGA
This 2766-nucleotide ribosomal RNA is filed under the name Triticum aestivum (bread wheat). RNAcentral's name for it is "partial small subunit ribosomal RNA". Lineage: Eukaryota; Viridiplantae; Streptophyta; Magnoliopsida; Poales; Poaceae. The record is from RNAcentral.